UACGAAGGGGGCUAGCGUUGCUCGGAAUCACUGGGCGUAAAGCGCACGUAGGCGGACUCUUAAGUCGGUGGUGAAAUCCUGGAGCUCAACUCCAGAACUGCCUUCGAUACUGGGAGUCUCGAGUUCGGGAGAGGUGAGUGGAACUGCGAGUGUAGAGGUGAAAUUCGUAGAUAUUCGCAAGAACACCAGUGGCGAAGGCGGCGCACUGGCCCGAUACUGACGCUGAGGUGCGAAAGCGUGGGGAGCAAACAGG
Molecule: ribosomal RNA, 253 nt
Filed under: uncultured bacterium
Lineage: Bacteria
Description: partial 16S ribosomal RNA
Rfam family: Bacterial small subunit ribosomal RNA
Source: RNAcentral